This 115-nucleotide ribosomal RNA is filed under the name Danio rerio (zebrafish). The record is from RNAcentral. Lineage: Eukaryota; Metazoa; Chordata; Actinopteri; Cypriniformes; Danionidae.
GCCAGCAGCUAGCUCUCUGCAACUUUUACAUGGUCACACACUGAAGCUAAGCAGAGCUGUGCCUGGUCAGUACCUGGAUGGGAGACCACAUGGGAAAGCUAGGUUGCUGCUGGAA